This 72-nucleotide transfer RNA is filed under the name Dermatophagoides pteronyssinus (European house dust mite). Its description in RNAcentral is "tRNA-Pro". It matches the Rfam family "tRNA". From Rfam's summary of the family: Transfer RNA (tRNA) molecules are approximately 80 nucleotides in length. Their secondary structure includes four short double-helical elements and three loops (D, anti-codon, and T loops). Lineage: Eukaryota; Metazoa; Arthropoda; Arachnida; Sarcoptiformes; Pyroglyphidae. The record is from Rfam by way of RNAcentral.
GGCCGUUUGGUCUAGUGGUAUGAUUCUUCUUUAGGGUAGAAGAGGUCCUGGGUUCGAUUCCCAGAACGGCCC